GGCAGUAAAAGUCGUAACAAGGAUUCCGUAGGUGAACCUGCGGAAGGAUCAUUAUCAUGUAAUUCAGUCCCCUUGGCUGUGUUAUAUAUAUACCCACUCUGUGUACCUUCUCCUGUUGCUUCCGCUGGGUGUGUAAUUCGCCCGGCGGAAGGGUAAAAAUAACCUCUGAGUAUUGAUGAAAUCUCUGUCUGAACCGAAUAGAAAGAAAAAUGUUAAAACUUUCAGCAACGGAUCUCUUGGUUCUC
This 245-nucleotide unclassified non-coding RNA is filed under the name plant metagenome. Its description in RNAcentral is "partial contains small subunit ribosomal RNA, internal transcribed spacer 1, and 5.8S ribosomal RNA". The stretch from base 1 to 54 matches the Rfam family "Eukaryotic small subunit ribosomal RNA", at positions 1778 to 1831 of the family's 1831-position model. The record is from RNAcentral.